RNAcentral lists this long non-coding RNA (714 nucleotides) under Ursus americanus (American black bear). Its description in RNAcentral is "lncRNA (ENSUAMG00000001809.1)". The record is from RNAcentral. Lineage: Eukaryota; Metazoa; Chordata; Mammalia; Carnivora; Ursidae.
GAAACGAGUUCUGAUGACUUUUUCUGCUGGAACUCAUCUGAAAUACAUCCUGGGUAUAAGCCUGAAGUAGCCCGGAACUCCAGGCCGGUCAGCACCUCAGCCGGAAGCCAGUCUCAAACUCCUUAUACCUGAUCUUCAAAUCCUCCAUGAAUCCCUUGACUUCACGUUCCUCUGUGCCUGCUCUGGACCCACGCAUACCCACCGCAGCAGCGCCAGGUCAUAGCCCUGAGCAUCCUCCUCCGCAUCCAUGUCCUUGCACUAGAACCCCCUCUGGUUCUUCCUAAGAAGUGCUCCACAGUCUCACCAGGAGCCCCCAAUUCUACUCCUGUUCCUCCCCCUCCUCCACCUUCGGACUGUUCUCUGCAGCCCCUCCCACUGCUCUCAGAGGACAAGGCAGGCUCACCUGUCCACCUGUGCUCUCAGAUACCUUCUCCUGGUGCCUCCCCCAGAACCUGCAAACCCACUGUGUACCUCACGGACAGAGACAACUGCUAUUCUGCUUCCGGCUCCAGAUCUAGAAUGGACACUUGUGAGUUGAAAGUUUAAUAUUCAUUAAUACUGAGUAGGGCAAUUAUUUUUAAAAAAUAGGAUAUCAUUAUUAGCAAUCACAAGUGCACAUGAAUAGAAUUCCUUGGCUGGAUUUUCUUAGAAAUGUGGCUAUAUUAUAUUCUGACUCUGGCACACCCUGUAAUUAGGCACUGGCCUUAAGGACAA